AAUCAACGCUGGCGGCGUGCCUAACACAUGCAAGUCGAACGCGAAAGGGGCUUCGGCCCUGAGUAGAGUGGCGAACGGGUGAGUAACACGUGGGUGAUCUACCUCUGAGUGGGGGAUAACCUUCCGAAAGGAGGGCUAAUACCGCAUGACGUUCUGGGUUUGAAGACCUGGAAACCAAAGUCGGGGACCGCAAGGCCUGACGCUUGGAGAGGAGCCCGCGCCUGAUUAGCUAGUUGGCGGGGCAACGGCCCACCAAGGCGACGAUCAGUAGCCGGCCUGAGAGGGCGGACGGCCACACUGGGACUGAGACACGGCCCAGACUCCUACGGGAGGCAGCAGUGGGGAAUUGUUCGCAAUGGGCGCAAGCCUGACGACGCAACGCCGCGUGGAGGAUGAAGGUCUUCGGAUUGUAAACUCCUGUUGACCGGGACGAACGGGUGCCGACUUAAUACGUCGGCACAGUGACGGUACCGGUUGAGGAAGCCACGGCUAACUCUGUGCCAGCAGCCGCGGUAAUAC
This 519-nucleotide ribosomal RNA is filed under the name uncultured bacterium. Its description in RNAcentral is "bacterial SSU rRNA". It matches the Rfam family "Bacterial small subunit ribosomal RNA", at positions 29 to 526 of the family's 1533-position model. The record is from RNAcentral.